Molecule: long non-coding RNA, 3592 nt
Filed under: Mus musculus (house mouse)
Lineage: Eukaryota; Metazoa; Chordata; Mammalia; Rodentia; Muridae
Description: predicted gene 45250
Source: RNAcentral
AUAUGGGCUAGCAUGUUAUUUACAGAACUGUUAGUGAGGCAUAUUAGUGUAUCUUCAUAGAGCUUAUUCUAUAAAGGGGAAAGUAGAAUAAAAGUGUAAAUUAAGGGCUGGAGACUUUUUUUUUUUUAAAGUAUAAAUUAUACUAAGGUACCUGAAUAAGGGUAACUAAGGGUAGGUAUCCCAUGCAAGAAACAAACAUUUGAAUGUUAAUCAGAGGAUGGAAUGGAUGAAGGUGAGGAGGAACAUUCCAGACACUGGGAGUGUAUGUUAAAGCACCAACCUGUGUUUGAAAGUACAGCCAGUAGAAGAGGGCCAGACCCUGGUGGUGGAGCCAGUUAGGAGAAGGCCAUGAAGUAAAGAUUGAAGGAGCCGAGUAUUAGUAUGGAUGAGAUUCAGUGGCCACUGAACCACUUUAGGCAUUAGUAUUUUAUAAGGGUAAUUCUGCUUAUUUUAAGAGCUGUAGAAGACAACAAUUCAAAAAGACAAACCAAUUAAGAGGCUGUUGCUGGUGAGCAAAGAGGUGGUAGCUUGGGUGAAGGUGGUAGCAGAGAAGCCAGGACUGGUAAGAACAAGGUGUGUGCAGUGCAGGCAAUACAGUUUAGUGAGAGGAGAGUGAGAGAACUGGGCAGGGUUUGAGCAUGGUUCUAAGUUGAGCAUUAGAUGUAUGAAUGUAUGUAAUACAAAAGUGAAAGAAGAACAACUCACAACAAAAUAGAACUUGGAAGCACAUUACGCCAGGGGCAGUUUGUAGGACUGGGGAUGUCAGAAAAGAAAGCUAAAAGUGGUGUUAGAGUUAAGCAGUAAAUGCCCAUUAAGAAAACACUUGGGUCCAAGCAAUAUCCUCCCUGGUCUGGGUGAAGCCCUAACCAUCCAGUUGGACCUGAUCAGUCAAUCACCUGGCUGAGAGCCCACCCCUAGAGAGAGGUUCACCUUAAGACAUGACAAAGAGAGACAGGUGGAAUGAGGUACUGUAGACCCUUCUAGAAUCCCUGCCUCUGGUGCUGUAGAAUUCAACUUCGUAAGUCUGAUUCAACUUCAUAAGCCUGCCUACUUUUCUUUCUUUCGAAGCAUUGCUUGCCUUAACACUUGGGAUUUCACCCGCAUAUGGGCAUGCUUGUCCACAAUGUGUUUGACUUCCAUACCAGCUUAAUUAUGCCAUCCUAAAUGGUAGAGUUGGUUUGGUGGGGUUUUGUUCCUGUUCUUUAACCAUUAUCCUCCAGUCUUCAGGCAGCUGCUGAGUUUUAUAGCUUGCUUGCCCUGGAUUUUUUUUUUUUCUUUUAACCUCUAAGAAGACUGUACUUGAGCCUCAUUUGAGUGCAUCCUUUAAUUGUGUUAACAAGACUGAGAACUCCAAAAGGGGACUCCAACUUCCCUUUACCACUGGUUCUAUGCUUAAGACUGCAAACCACUAAGGAAGUGGACAAGGCUCACUCUAGAGUGCCUGCUUUGUGGUCACUGAUUCAGAGGAAAACUAGUCAGGUUGUUGUAUGUGUUACAUGGCUAGAUUUUUCUCUUAUCCUCUUCUGUCUUACUGUUUGUAACUUGGAAGUGAAAUGUAUACUUUUAUUUUGCUGGACAUCAUCCUUAAUUGCCCCUAUAUCAAAAUGGUAAGUUUAAAGAUAUGGUAAAUUGCAUAUAAUUUUAAAAAUAUCUUUUGAACUAAUAAACACAUUGUGGUUUUCUUUAUAAAAAUAAUCUUCCAGCCUAAAUUUUCACUAUGUGAUCUGCAAAUUUAUUAGCUUAGUAAAAAGUAGCUUUCACCUCUUUCUUUAAAACAUAACAUUGUUAUUGAUUCUCUGCACAUUUCACAUCAUUCACAAUAAUCACACCUCCCUCCCACCCCUGUGAACCUCUGGAAAAGUAAAAAUAUUUUUUUAAUUUAAAAAGUCCAAUUUUUAUAAUCUGUACACUCACUGGAGCAUGGUCAAACUCCCAGUGGCCUGCUGCUUAAACAGGAGUGAGUCCAUCCCUCCAUGCACACACUCCAGAAGCCAUCAGCCGUCGAGAGCUACACUGCAGUGGCCUCCAUUUCUGGCUUCCUGUUUACACUGUUCGUUUUUCUGUUGGUUUGGGGACUGAGGUGGUCACAGAAGCCUUCCUUCCAUGCCCCUCCCUCUCAACUGUGUGUCUGCAGUCAUCAAUAUCACAGUCAGCUGGAACAUGGACCCUGAGCCUCCACAUGGUUUGUGGCAACAGACCAUCGACAGGGCUACAGGCUGCAGUAUGCUGCGGAUGCAGUAGGAUCCCAGACACAGAUAAGGCUCUCAGAGGCAGCUCAGACUGCAGGUAUCGCUGUGGCCCCAGCCUCAGGUGGCAGCACAGGCCACUCACACCGACCGACAUGGCCCUCAGUGACAGUGCAGCCCACAGACAUCAACGUGACUAGAGGUAGCAGAACUGACUAUGGGCAUAAACACAGACCCCAGCCACAGUAAAACCAUGGACCAAACAUGGCCCUCAGUGGCAGCACAAAUCUACUAUAGCCUUUAGUGCACACCACUCACAGCAGUAUGGUCCUGGUGGCUGCAGAGCCCACUGACAUCAGCAUGGAUUCAGGCAGAGGCACAGAGCACAAGAAUGCAGGGUUUUGUUGUUUGGUUUGGUUUUUGAGACCACUGACUUUGCAACCCUGGCUGAUCUGGAACUCAUCAUAUAGACCAGGCUAUCCUUGAACUCAAAAGGGAUUCACCUCUGCCUCCUAAUUAAAAGGCUUGCACAUCCAGGUCCUAACAUUUCAAUCAAUACAUGUAGCAUGGUCCACAAUCAAUAGCAAUCAAAAUAAUGAAGCCAGGGGCUAUCUAUGCAGCUCAGUUAGUGGUGUUUACAUUGCAUGCACUUAAAACUGGACAUGAUGACCCACUGGUAAUCCUAGCACUCAGGAGGUGCAAACAAAAGGAUCAAAAGCUCAAGGUCAUCCUUGUCUGGGUCAGACCAGCCUGAACUAUGAGACCUUCAAAACUGCUAGAACCUACAAAGGAUGAUACGUAAUGGUCAAGAAGUCAGACAAAAAAGAAAAUGUUUAAAAAAAUAUAUAGAUGCAACUCCAUUCCAGAAGUGGUUAGUUGAACAGAAAAAUGGGUGGUGGCAGUUUGUUUAUAACUCAUUGAUGGUGCUAUAUGGCUAGACAUGAGCAGACUUGAUAAAACUGGAGCAGCUUAUUAAUAAUAAACAGGCUGCAAAACAAAGACUGGAACUGCAAGAUCAAAUACUGUGUAGAAGAAUGGGACCUGAGUCCCAUCUCUGGCCCUGGGGGGUGGGGGGUGUGACUGACAUGGUGGUUUGCCUGGAAGGUUAUUAAUAUAUAAUGUAAUCAACCUGGCUACAUGUUAAAGGACAGCUGUAUAGUAGUGGGCUUUCUGAUGAAGAAUGAAAAUGUGCCAUUACUCUCACGUAAGAGCCAAACCAGACGGGCCUGUCAACCACCUAGACAAGUCAAAGACCCUCAGAAAACUGUUUUGUUUUAAAUAUGGAAUAAAUCUUACCUAAAACAUAGAUUGGUACAAUGGUCCCUUUGGCCAUCGUCCACUCUUGGUGGACUUGGUGCUCUACUUUACCCUGCAAUAAAUAAAGCUCUAUCUUCCAAUCCACUCUA